Molecule: non-coding RNA, 106 nt
Filed under: Veillonella montpellierensis
Lineage: Bacteria; Bacillati; Bacillota; Negativicutes; Veillonellales; Veillonellaceae
Also listed under: 1 other name
Description: TPP sequence
Rfam family: TPP riboswitch aptamer (THI element)
About the family: Vitamin B(1) in its active form thiamin pyrophosphate (TPP) is an essential coenzyme that is synthesised by coupling of pyrimidine and thiazole moieties in bacteria. The previously detected thiamin-regulatory element, thi box was extended, resulting in a new, highly conserved RNA secondary structure, the THI element, which is widely distributed in eubacteria and also occurs in some archaea. Analysis of operon structures identified a large number of new candidate thiamin-regulated genes, mostly transporters, in various prokaryotic organisms.
Source: RNAcentral
UAUAUAUGAAAAGGGAGCUAACACUGGUUGGCUGAGAGUAAACGAAUGUUUUGACCUAGAACCUGAUUUGGAUAAUGCCAACGUAGGGAUGCAUAAUAGAGAACAG